CACCGUACGUGCAUUUCAGCUCAUCUUCUCCACUGCUUGGAGUCUGAGGUGAAAAUGCGCGAAUUUCUCC
This 70-nucleotide microRNA precursor is filed under the name Echinococcus granulosus. RNAcentral describes it as "microRNA egr-mir-10252 precursor". Lineage: Eukaryota; Metazoa; Platyhelminthes; Cestoda; Cyclophyllidea; Taeniidae. The record is from miRBase by way of RNAcentral.